Molecule: ribosomal RNA, 542 nt
Filed under: Microbacterium lacus
Lineage: Bacteria; Bacillati; Actinomycetota; Actinomycetes; Micrococcales; Microbacteriaceae
Description: bacterial SSU rRNA
Rfam family: Bacterial small subunit ribosomal RNA
Source: RNAcentral
AACGGUGAAAGAGAGCUUGCUCUCUGGAUCAGUGGCGAACGGGUGAGUAACACGUGAGCAAUCUGCCCUUGACUCUGGGAUAAGCGCUGGAAACGGCGUCUAAUACUGGAUACGAGCUGCGAAGGCAUCUUCAGCAGCUGGAAAGAACUUCGGUCAAGGAUGAGCUCGCGGCCUAUCAGCUUGUUGGUGAGGUAAUGGCUCACCAAGGCGUCGACGGGUAGCCGGCCUGAGAGGGUGACCGGCCACACUGGGACUGAGACACGGCCCAGACUCCUACGGGAGGCAGCAGUGGGGAAUAUUGCACAAUGGGCGCAAGCCUGAUGCAGCAACGCCGCGUGAGGGACGACGGCCUUCGGGUUGUAAACCUCUUUUAGCANGGAAGAAGCGAAAGUGACGGUACCUGCAGAAAAAGCACCGGCUAACUACGUGCCAGCAGCCGCGGUAAUACGUAGGGUGCAAGCGUUAUCCGGAAUUAUUGGGCGUAAAGAGCUCGUAGGCGGUUUGUCACGUCUGCUGUGAAAACUGGAGGCUCAACCUCCAGC